Molecule: ribosomal RNA, 504 nt
Filed under: Triticum aestivum (bread wheat)
Lineage: Eukaryota; Viridiplantae; Streptophyta; Magnoliopsida; Poales; Poaceae
Description: partial small subunit ribosomal RNA
Source: RNAcentral
AUGGAUGACUUCAUCUUCAUGGUCUACCAUCCUUUUCAAAACAGCUGCUUUGUUACUGUUCUCAGACCCCACUGCUUGGGCACUAUUCUCAGAUCCCUUGUUGCAUUCUUUCAUGUAAUUUUCCCCAUGACAGAGAGGGCAUAUGGAUUCCCAAGAGCCCACCACCAUCUCACUUUAGGGUGCCCAGUGGCCAGAAUUGGAAAAGGAUUAGUACUCUGGUCAUGCCCAUCUGCAAUUAUUAAAUUGCAUUAUCCUUUGUUAUUUUAUAAAUCAUUGGUGCGCGGUGGUGUGACGAAGGCCGAAGACACGAUUAGUAUUGUUUUGAAAUGUAUCUGGAAGGUCAGCCCUUUGAUCUUCUGGUCAUAUAAGGGUGAUGUGUAUUGGUUUGUCAUCAAUGAAUUAUUCAAGUUAAGGCACCUAGAUCACUUGCAUAAUGUUAGAUUACAACCCCAUUGGAAAUUAACUGGACCAUGGGCUUCACCUUGCCACAUGACUAUACCUUGA